Molecule: ribosomal RNA, 450 nt
Filed under: uncultured bacterium
Lineage: Bacteria
Description: bacterial SSU rRNA
Rfam family: Bacterial small subunit ribosomal RNA
Source: RNAcentral
UAGGGGAUAUUGCACAAUGGAGGAAACUCUGAUGCAGCGACGCCGCGUGAGUGAUGAAGGCCUUCGGGUCGUAAAGCUCUGUCGCAAGGGAAUAAGAAAGUGAAUGUACCUUGCAAGAAAGGAUCGGCUAACUUCGUGCCAGCAGCCGCGGUAAGACGAGGGAUCCUAGCGUUGUUCGGAAUCAUUGGGCGUAAAGCGGGUGUAGGUGGCCAUGUAAGUCAGAUGUGAAAGCCCAGGGCUUAACCUUGGAAGUGCAUUUGAUACUGCGUGGCUUGAGUGUAGGAGAGGAUAGUAGAAUUCCUGGUGUAGUGGUGAAAUACGUAGAUAUCAGGAGGAAUACCGGAGGCGAAGGCGGCUAUCUGGCCUAACACUGACACUCAGACCCGAAAGCGUGGGGAUCAAACAGGAUUAGAUACCCCUGUAGUCCCUGAGCGGGCUGGCAAGGCGCAU